RNAcentral lists this ribosomal RNA (326 nucleotides) under uncultured Rhogostoma. RNAcentral's name for it is "SSU rRNA". The stretch from base 56 to 326 matches the Rfam family "Eukaryotic small subunit ribosomal RNA", at positions 684 to 955 of the family's 1831-position model. RNAcentral also lists the same sequence under 1 other name. Lineage: Eukaryota; Cercozoa; Thecofilosea; Cryomonadida. The record is from RNAcentral.
GAUUUCUGGCACGAUGUACCUGUCCCGCUGCGGUCAACGCAUGUGAGUGACGGAGUAUGUUUGCCAUCCUUCUAGAGAGCGCAAGCUAUCCUUUACUGGACCGGUUUGUGCCAUCUAGAUCUUUUACUUUGAAAAAAUUAGAGUGUUUCAAGCAGGCGUUUUGCUAUGAAUACAUUAGCAUGGAAUAAUGAGUUAGGACUUCGGUUCUAUUUUGUUGGUUUCUAGGACUGAAGUAAUGAUUGAUAGGGAUAGUUGGGGGUGCUAGUAUUCAGCGGCCAGAGGUGAAAUUCUUGGAUUCGCUGAAGACUAACUUAUGCGAAAGCAUU